Molecule: ribosomal RNA, 476 nt
Filed under: uncultured bacterium
Lineage: Bacteria
Description: bacterial SSU rRNA
Rfam family: Bacterial small subunit ribosomal RNA
Source: RNAcentral
UCGACUCCUACGGGAGGCAGCAGUGGGGAAUAUUGCACAAUGGGGGAAACCCUGAUGCAGCCAUGCCGCGUGUGUGAAGAAGGCCUUCGGGUUGUAAAGCACUUUUCAGCGAGGAGGAAAGGGGUGUGUGCUAAUACCAUACAUCUGUGACGUUACUCGCAGAAGAAGCACCGGCUAACUCCCGGUUGCCAGCAGCCGCGGUAAUUACGGAGGGUGCGAGCGUUAAUCGGAAUUUACUGGGCGUAAAGCGUGCGCAGGCGGUUUGUUAAGCGAGAUGUGAAAGCCCCGGGCUCAACCUGGGAAUUGCAUUUCGAACUGGCAAGCUAGAGUCUUGUAGAGGGGGGUAGAAUUUCAGGUGUAGCGGUGAAAUGCGUAGAGAUCUGAAGGAAUACCGGUGGCGAAGGCGGCCCCCUGGACAAAGACUGACGCUCAUGCACGAAAGCGUGGGGAGCAAACAGGAUUAGAUACCCUGGUAG